UCCGUAGGCGGGCGACUAAGUCAGAGGUGAAAUCCCACAGCUCAACUGUGGAACUGCCUUUGAUACUGGUUGUCUUGAGUUAUAGUGAAGUAGAUAGAAUAUGUAGUGUAGCGGUGAAAUGCAUAGAUAUUACAUAGAAUACCGAUUGCGAAGGCAGUCUACUAACUGUAUACUGACGCUAAUGGACGAAAGCGUGGGGAGCGAACAGGAUUAGAUACCCUGGUAGUCC
RNAcentral lists this ribosomal RNA (229 nucleotides) under uncultured bacterium. Its description in RNAcentral is "partial 16S ribosomal RNA". It matches the Rfam family "Bacterial small subunit ribosomal RNA", at positions 568 to 796 of the family's 1533-position model. The record is from RNAcentral.